RNAcentral lists this microRNA precursor (158 nucleotides) under Oryza glumipatula. RNAcentral describes it as "MIR812 microRNA precursor family". It matches the Rfam family "MIR812 microRNA precursor family", at positions 30 to 189 of the family's 205-position model. The record is from Rfam by way of RNAcentral. Lineage: Eukaryota; Viridiplantae; Streptophyta; Magnoliopsida; Poales; Poaceae.
GGCAAACUGUCCGUCUUAUAUAAAUUUUUUUUAUAAUUAGUAUUUUCAUUGUUGUUAGAUGAUAAAACAUGAUUAAUAUUUUAUACGUGACUUAUCUUUUUAAUUUUUUCAUAAUUUUUUUAAAUAAGACGAACGGUCAAACGUUGGAUACGGAAAUC